GCGAGUCAUUGUAGUAAUACAAGGCAGACGGCUCAGUAACGCGUACUCUCCUAACCUAUGGACGGGAAUAACCUCGGGAAACUGAGCAUAAUGCCCGAUAGAACAUUAUGCCUGGAAUGGUUUAUGUUCCAAAUGAUUUAUCGCCGUAGGAUGGGACUGCGCCCUAUCAGUUUGUUGGUGAGGUAAUGGCCCACCAAGACUAUUACAGGUACGGGCUCUGAGAGGAGUAGCCCGGAGAUGGGUACUGAGACACGGACCCAGGCCCUAUGGGGCGCAGCAGGCGAGAAAACUUUGCAAUGUGCGAAAGCACGACAAGGUUAAUCCGAGUGGUUUCUGCUAAAGGAACCUUUUGUCGGUCCUAGAAACACCGAUGAAUAAGGGGUGGGCAAGUUCUGGUGUCAGCCGCCGCGGUAAAACCAGCACCUCAAGUGGUCAGGAUGAUUAUUGGGCCUAAAGCAUCCGUAGCCGGCUUUGUUAGUUUUCGGUUAAAUCUGUACGCUCAACGUACAGGCUGCCGGGAAUACUGCAGAGCUAGGGAGUGGGAGAGGUAGACGGUACUCGGUAGGAAGGGGUA
RNAcentral lists this ribosomal RNA (574 nucleotides) under uncultured crenarchaeote. RNAcentral's name for it is "bacterial SSU rRNA". It matches the Rfam family "Archaeal small subunit ribosomal RNA", at positions 53 to 634 of the family's 1478-position model. The record is from RNAcentral. Lineage: Archaea; Thermoproteati; Thermoproteota.